RNAcentral lists this transfer-messenger RNA (385 nucleotides) under Helicobacter pylori. RNAcentral describes it as "Standard tmRNA". It matches the Rfam family "transfer-messenger RNA". Rfam says of the family: Bacterial tmRNA, also known as 10Sa RNA or SsrA, is named for its dual tRNA and mRNA-like properties. Its role is to liberate the mRNA from a stalled ribosome. To accomplish this part of the tmRNA is used as a reading frame that ends in a translation stop signal. Lineage: Bacteria; Pseudomonadati; Campylobacterota; Epsilonproteobacteria; Campylobacterales; Helicobacteraceae. The record is from RNAcentral.
GGGGCUGACUUGGAUUUCGACAGAUUUCUUGUCGCACAGAUAGCAUGCCAAGUGCUGCUUGUAAAACAGCAACAAAAAUAACUGUAAACAACACAGAUUACGCUCCAGCUUACGCUAAAGCUGCGUGAGUUAAUCUCCUUUUGGAGCUGGACUGAUUGAAAUUUCUAGCGUUUUAAUCACUCCAUAACCUUAAGCUAGACGCUUUUAAAAGGUGGUUCGCCUUUUAAACUAAGAAACAAGAACUCUUGAAACUACCUCAAGGUUUUAGAAAGUUGGACCAGAGCUAGUUUUAAGGCUAAAAACUAACCAAUUUUCUAAGCAUUGUAGAAGUUUGUGUUUAGGACAAGAUUUUUGGACUGGGGUUCGAUUCCCCACAGCUCCACCA